UAGUCAUAUGCUUGUCUUAAAAAUUAAGCCAUGCAAGUCUAAGUAUAAACGAAUUUAUUCAGUGAGACUGCAGAAGGCUCAUUAUAUCAGUUAUUGUCUAGGCGAUGGGCAAUUACUACAUGGAUAACUGUAGUAAUUCUAGAGCUAAUACAUGCCAUAAAGCAUCUUUUUGAGGUGUGGCCUUAUUAGAAGUAAAGCCAGCCCGAUUCUUCGGAGCUUUGGUGAUUCAUAAUAAUGAUACCCAAUCGCACUGUUGUGCGAAACAUCGCUAGAAUUU
This 277-nucleotide ribosomal RNA is filed under the name uncultured eukaryote. RNAcentral describes it as "partial 18S ribosomal RNA". It matches the Rfam family "Eukaryotic small subunit ribosomal RNA", at positions 21 to 306 of the family's 1831-position model. The record is from RNAcentral.